This 301-nucleotide ribosomal RNA is filed under the name uncultured bacterium. Its description in RNAcentral is "partial 16S ribosomal RNA". It matches the Rfam family "Bacterial small subunit ribosomal RNA", at positions 509 to 807 of the family's 1533-position model. The record is from RNAcentral.
CAGCAGCCGCGGUAAUACGAAGGGGGCUAGCGUUGCUCGGAAUGACUGGGCGUAAAGGGCGCGUAGGCGGUUUAUACAGUCAGAUGUGAAAUUCCUGGGCUCAACCUGGGGACUGCAUUUGAUACGUAUGGACUUGAGUGGAGGAGAGGGUCGUGGAAUUUCCAGUGUAGAGGUGAAAUUCGUAGAUAUUGGAAAGAACACCGGUGGCGAAGGCGGCGACCUGGCCUUUAACUGACGCUGAGGCGCGAAAGCGUGGGGAGCAAACAGGAUUAGAUACCCGCGUAGUCCCUGUCUCUUAUAC